Molecule: long non-coding RNA, 772 nt
Filed under: Homo sapiens (human)
Lineage: Eukaryota; Metazoa; Chordata; Mammalia; Primates; Hominidae
Description: non-protein coding lnc-EGR2-1:4
Source: RNAcentral
AUUCCAGUAGAUCCAACGCCCAGGCUAGGGGGUAGAGACACAGCCCUUGUGGUAGGGUAGGGCACGUCUUCGGCCCACCGCUCCUGGGCGCCAGUGGCUUCAAGGGAAGACCUUGGGACCUGGAUAGGGUUCUCCCUCGCACCAGAAGUCAUCGGCCUGUGGGGUCUCCAGGAGCCACACCUCUCGAGGCAGGUCACAGGCCGAGCUGGAGGCCUCCUUGGGCCUGACCGGCUCCAGCACCCGAGACAGACUUUCACCAUGUUGCCCAAGCUGGUCCCACAUUCCUGGGCUCAAGGGAUCCACCUGCCUUGGCCUCUCGAAGUGCUGGUAUUACAGGCAUGAGCCACUAUGCCCAGGCAAUCCUUCAGGAAGAAGACCCUGGCGAAAAUUACCUUGCAUAUCAAGAGUUGGCGGAUGAACACGAAGCAAUCACCUUGGGAAAAGGAGUGAUGAAAGUAGAAAGCACUAAAGAGAUUCUUUAUAGUUCUUGAUGGGUAGCCUGAGUUGCUCUUGCCAUGUUUUUGUUUGUUUUUUUUCACUCCUCACCGUAUCUUUAAAUCCUAUUUUUAAAAAAAGUAAUGAAGAGGUAGCCAAGAUGUUCUUCAACAGAUGAAAGGAUAAAUAAAUGGUGGUACAUCCAGAUAAUGGAAUAUUAAUCAGUUAUAAAAAGGAAUGAGCUACUAAGCCAUGAAAAGACAUGGAGGAAACUUAAUCCAUGUUACUAAAUUAAAGAACCCAAUCUAAAAAGGCUGCAUACUGUGUAAUUCCAAGU